AGAGUUUGAUCAUGGCUCAGAAUCAACGCUGGCGGCGUGCCUAACACAUGCAAGUCGAACGAGAAAGGGUAGCAAUACCUGAGUAAAGUGGCGCACGGGUGAGCAACACGUGACUAACCUACCCUGGAGUGGGGGAUAACUGAGGGAAACCUUAGCUAAUACCGCAUAACACCUACGGGUCAAAGGAGCAAUUCGCUUCAGGAGGGGGUCGCGGCCGAUUAGUUAGUUGGCGGGGUAAUGGCCCACCAAGACUGUGAUCGGUAUCCGGCCUGAGAGGGCGCACGGACACACUGGAACUGAAACACGGUCCAGACUCCUACGGGAGGCAGCAGUGGGGAAUUUUGCGCAAUGGGGGAAACCCUGACGCAGCAACGCCGCGUGGAGGAUGAAGUACUUCGGUACGUAAACUCCUUUCGAUCGGGACGAUUAUGACGGUACCGGAAGAAGAAGCCCCGGCUAACUUCGUGCCAGCAGCCGCGGUAAUACGAGGGGGGCAAGCGUUGUUCGGAAUUAUUGGGCGUAAAGGGUGCGUAGGCGGUUUUGUAAGUCUUGUGUGAAAUCUUCAGGCUCAACUUGAAGACUGCACGAGAAACUGCAGGGCUUGAGUGUGGGAGAGGUGAGUGGAAUUCCUGGUGUAGCGGUGAAAUGCGUAGAUAUCAGGAGGAACACCUGUGGCGAAAGCGGCUCACUGGACCACAACUGACGCUGAUGCACGAAAGCUAGGGGAGCAAACAGGAUUAGAUACCCUAGUAGUCC
This 756-nucleotide ribosomal RNA is filed under the name uncultured bacterium. Its description in RNAcentral is "bacterial SSU rRNA". It matches the Rfam family "Bacterial small subunit ribosomal RNA", at positions 8 to 796 of the family's 1533-position model. The record is from RNAcentral.